CAGUCGCCGCGGUAAUACGAAGGGUGCAAGCGUUAAUCGGAAUUACUGGGCGUAAAGCGUGCGUAGGCGGUUUGUUAAGUCUGCUGUGAAGUCCCCGGGCUCAACCUGGGAAUGGCAGUGGAUACUGGCAAGCUAGAGUGUGUCAGAGGAUGGUGGAAUUCCCGGUGUAGCGGUGAAAUGCGUAGAGAUCGGGAGGAACAUCAGUGGCGAAGGCGGCCAUCUGGGACAACACUGACGCUGAGGCACGAAAGCGUGGGGAGCAAACAGGAUUAGAGACCCCUGUAGUCCCUGUCUCUUAUAC
RNAcentral lists this ribosomal RNA (301 nucleotides) under uncultured bacterium. Its description in RNAcentral is "partial 16S ribosomal RNA". It matches the Rfam family "Bacterial small subunit ribosomal RNA", at positions 509 to 807 of the family's 1533-position model. The record is from RNAcentral.